This is a non-coding RNA of Pelobates cultripes (western spadefoot toad), 261 nucleotides long. Lineage: Eukaryota; Metazoa; Chordata; Amphibia; Anura; Pelobatidae. The record is from the annotation of a GenBank genome assembly.
CAGGGUUUUACAGAACAACCAAUGAAUCUGUACAAUACACACAGACACUCCCACACAAAAUCCUCCCCUCUGCCUGUGAUACAAUUACCUUACACAAUGGGUAAUUUAAUUAUCACAGACAGAGAAAUACAGUUUCAUAAAACACAUCACAGGGACCGCAAAACAUGCAAUAACCCCAGAUCCACAUAUCCAAAAUUCACCCAGAUCCGUUCAGUACUUUGGAAGAUACAGUUUAAUGCAGAUUCUGCAGAACAUAUACAG